UUCGUAGGCGGUGUGGCAAGUCGGGAGUGAAAUCUCUGGGCUUAACCCAGAGACUGCUUCCGAAACUGCUGUGCUUGAGUGUGGGAGAGGCGCGUGGAAUUGCAGGUGUAGCGGUGAAAUGCGUAGAUAUCUGCAGGAACACCCGUGGCGAAAGCGGCGCGCUGGACCACUACUGACGCUGAGGAACAAAGCUAGGGGAGCAAACA
This 206-nucleotide ribosomal RNA is filed under the name uncultured bacterium. RNAcentral describes it as "partial 16S ribosomal RNA". It matches the Rfam family "Bacterial small subunit ribosomal RNA", at positions 568 to 774 of the family's 1533-position model. The record is from RNAcentral.